UACGGAGGGUGCGAGCGUUAAUCGGAAUUACUGGGCGUAAAGCGCGCGUAGGUGGUUUGAUAAGCUAGCCUGUGAAAGCCCGGGCUCAACCUGGGAACUGCAGUUAGAACUGUCUGGCUAGAGUAUAGUAGAGGGUGGCGGAAUUUCCUGUGUAGCGGUGAAAUGCGUAGAUAUAGGAAGGAACAUCAGUGGCGAAGGCGGCCACCUGGACUAAUACUGACACUGAGGUGCGAAAG
Molecule: ribosomal RNA, 236 nt
Filed under: uncultured bacterium
Lineage: Bacteria
Description: partial 16S ribosomal RNA
Rfam family: Bacterial small subunit ribosomal RNA
Source: RNAcentral